CCCACCGGAACCCAUGGAACCCGUUUACUUCUAAACAAACCCUUUCCGUCUUCGACCCUUUCCGUCAUUCUCCAAAACGCAACUCUCUUUCUCUGGAACUCAACCCAAUCUGGGUUUGCUGCACUGAGGUAGACGCACACUCACGCCACUCUCUCUCUCUCUCUUCCAGAUCUGAAACCCAGAGACCCCCCAGAAGCCCUUGGUUCAGCUACAAGGACGAUCGCGGAUAUAUAGAGCCACAAAGGUGACUGUAGAUGACAAAUAUGCUCCGGAGAACCCUUGCUACUUAUGCGAGCAGUGCUAUUAGCUUCUUCACUAAAAGGGUGAUGGUUCUCUGCAUUAUCAGGACUUUGAAGUGUGAUUAUCAGCAUGAUCAACCGCGUUGAUGCAUUGAUGUCUUUGUAGAAUGCCACCAAAGUAACUCCCUCUUCAUGUCUUUUAUAUUACUUCUCCUUUUAUUCCAUGAUUUGGCUCUCUGCACGUCACAGCAAUGUGAAUACGAAAAUUGGCCAUCAUUACGCUCAUGAAUGUGCUGUGCAAUUCUGUAGAAAUCGAAUAUCUGCAUAGUACAGUUCAAUAUAUGCAGAGAAAAGCAUGAUUGUAUAUAUUGCAUAUGUAUCUGAAGGUUGCACUCAUUUGAAUUUGAAAUAUUAGCUGAACCAUGUCCAUUUUUUUAUUGAA
Molecule: long non-coding RNA, 681 nt
Organism: Rosa chinensis
Lineage: Eukaryota; Viridiplantae; Streptophyta; Magnoliopsida; Rosales; Rosaceae
Exons: 2
Source: RefSeq, a predicted model, not a curated record